Molecule: transfer RNA, 77 nt
Filed under: Erwinia phage SunLIRen
Lineage: Duplodnaviria; Heunggongvirae; Uroviricota; Caudoviricetes; Andersonviridae
Also listed under: 1 other name
Description: tRNA-Thr
Rfam family: tRNA
About the family: Transfer RNA (tRNA) molecules are approximately 80 nucleotides in length.
Source: RNAcentral
UGCCUCCAUCAUAUAAGGGCUAUUAUGCCUGUUUUGUAAUCAGGUCAUCGCGGUUCGAAUCCGUGUGGGGGCACCAA